UACAGAGGGUGCGAGCGUUAAUCGGAAUUACUGGGCGUAAAGGGUGCGUAGGCGGUUAGUUAAGUUAGAUGUGAAAUCCCCGGGCUUAACCUGGGAAUGGCAUUUAAUACUGAUUGGCUAGAGUAGAGUAGAGGGUAGUGGAAUUUCCGGUGUAGCGGUGAAAUGCGUAGAUAUCGGAAAGAACAUCAGUGGCGAAGGCGGCUACCUGGACUCAUACUGACGCUGAGGCACGAAAGCAUGGGGAGCAAACAGG
RNAcentral lists this ribosomal RNA (253 nucleotides) under uncultured Gammaproteobacteria bacterium. RNAcentral's name for it is "partial 16S ribosomal RNA". It matches the Rfam family "Bacterial small subunit ribosomal RNA", at positions 524 to 776 of the family's 1533-position model. Lineage: Bacteria; Pseudomonadati; Pseudomonadota; Gammaproteobacteria. The record is from RNAcentral.